This 425-nucleotide ribosomal RNA is filed under the name uncultured bacterium. Its description in RNAcentral is "partial 16S ribosomal RNA". It matches the Rfam family "Bacterial small subunit ribosomal RNA", at positions 354 to 796 of the family's 1533-position model. The record is from RNAcentral.
GUGGGGAAUAUUGGACAAUGGGCGAAAGCCUGAUCCAGCCAUGCCGCGUGUGUGAAGAAGGCCUUCGGGUUGUAAAGCUCUUUUACCCGGGAAGAUAAUGACUGUACCGGGAGAAUAAGCCCCGGCUAACUCCGUGCCAGCAGCCGCGGUAAUACGGAGGGGGCUAGCGUUGUUCGGAAUUACUGGGCGUAAAGCGCACGUAGGCGGUCUUUUAAGUCAGAGGUGAAAGCCCGGGGCUCAACUCCGGAAUUGCCUUUGAAACUGGGAGACUUGAACACGGGAGAGGUGAGUGGAAUUCUGAGUGUAGAGGUGAAAUUCGUAGAUAUUCGGAGGAACACCAGUGGCGAAGGCGGCUCACUGGACCGUUGUUGACGCUGAGGUGCGAAAGCGUGGGGAGCAAACAGGAUUAGAUACCCCGGUAGUCC